RNAcentral lists this ribosomal RNA (502 nucleotides) under uncultured bacterium. Its description in RNAcentral is "bacterial SSU rRNA". It matches the Rfam family "Bacterial small subunit ribosomal RNA", at positions 32 to 510 of the family's 1533-position model. The record is from RNAcentral.
AAUCAACGCUGGCGGCGUGCCUCAGACAUGCAAGUCGAACGCGAAAGUCCCCUUCGGGGGACAAGUAGAGUGGCGCACGGGUGAGUAACACGUAGGUAAUUUACCUUCGGGCGGGGAAUAACAACCGGAAACGGUUGCUAAUACCGCAUAAUGCAGCGGCACCUAAUGGUGACAGUUGUUAAAGCGGGGGAUCGCAAGACCUCGCACCUGAAGAGGAGCCUGCGGCGGAUUAGCUAGUUGGAGGGUAACAGCCUACCAAGGCAACGAUCCGUAGCCGGCCUGAGAGGGCGGUCGGCCACACUGACACUGACAUACGGGUCAGACUCCUACGGGAGGCAGCAGUCGGGAAUUUUGGGCAAUGGGCGAAAGCCUGACCCAGCAACGCCGCGUGAAGGAUGAAAUCCCUCGGGAUGUAAACUUCGCAAGAACGGGAAGAAUAAGUCGGUGUGAAUAUCACCGGCGAUGACGGUACCGUUUGUAAGCUCCGGCUAACUCCGUGCCA